CUGAGCUUUCGCACGCCCUCUGGUGGAUGCAAUUCACCACAGUGGGCAGCAAAUAUUUUUAUCGAAUUUCGGUCUGACUGACAGUCCCAAUUGCUGUUUGUUUCCCACUGUCAUUCUGAAAAACAGAAGGGGCACCGAAAAUUAGGCUGGGAGGAGCUGAUUUCCGAAAAAAAUAGAGCGAGCCUUCUCCUCGUGGUAUUCAAAGAGUACAGACGUACAUAUACGUCGCGACCACGGCCAUAUGGAGCGAACAUAAAAAGAAGACAGAAGAGGUUGCUGCCAGUUACCGGAUGAGUUCCGAAUAAAUUACCCAUGGAACACCGGAGAAAUAUCUACGGCGUCCACUGGGCCCAUGGAGGGGCAUAUUUUUGGAAGACCACUCUGGCCCCCACCAGCAGCUUUAGCGCAGGCGCAACCCAGUGCCCGAUUUCCGUUCGAGAGCGGCCCCAACAGCACCAAGGCAGAACAGCUGCGAUCGAGCACCUCGACCAUCAUCCCCCGCCUACAGCGGCUUGAGAGCCGAAAUUAGCGAGUUGUGUUAAGUGAUGUGACCACCUGACGAUCUCUGACCCAGGCCUUGACGGAAUAUAUCUAUGUGCGGUUCAACAUAACCUGCCUAUGGAUCGGUGCCACCACAUGCUGGCUUAACAUUUUUUCGUUGCCCCCCUAAACCAACUAAAAUCAACGGCAUAGUGACAGUGAAGAAUAAAAUACGAAACUCUAUAUGAAACACUGUGCAUUUAAAACGUAUGUGCACUUGCGAGGUCAUUGACCCGUAAAGGCUACAGGCCGUGCUUUUCAAAUUUAUACUUGUGUCCCCAUGCCAUCGCUGCCAUGUCUGGAUUCAGACCUCGUUUUGAAUUUGAUUAAUACAAAUGUAAAGAAAAGUAGUGAUAUUUAGCGCAAGUGACAAAAACAUUAAGAAACUAACGUAAAAUUUACUUAUUCCAUUUUUGUUUAAUUUAUAUUUGUUUAAAUCCAACCCCAAAAAGAAAGAAUCAAAACAAACGGAGAGAAAUCAUUUGUUUAUGUGUGUUUUUUUUUGUAUUCAUUCGUUUAUUCCUUCUAUUAUCAUGCUUUAAUAAUACUACGUUCUUACACUAGUGGGUAUAAUUAUAAUGAGGGUCGUAUUUGCUAGUGGGAGUGGGCGCCCGGCGCGCGAGGUACUGCCGCAAAGCAUUGCUUCGCACGCUCAUGUUUAUGUUUAUGUAUGUAUGAUCAAUUGUGUGUGCUCUCUCUUGAAAGCUUUCAGGUUCGCUCUCCCAUCGCCGAAAGAUCUUUUGGACAUGGAUGACAUAGAGCAAAUACGUAAGUGAAAUAACCUAUUUUACUGCAAAUCUUAACUUGUUAGAGACUUUACUGCCAUACACACGAAAAAAAUACUUGAUCGGUCUGUCUUGUUGUUGCGAUUUCGGCCAACGUAAAGCUUGUGAGCUUUCGGAGCUUCUUAAAAGCUUGGCCUUAUCUAUGGAGCUUUACACUUAUGAGCAUUUAAUUAGAGCCAAAAUAAUUUCCGUUGGAAUAAAAAUGAAAAUGAAAUGAAUGAAUUAAAAAUAAUUACAUAUUAAUCCAAAACAUAUCGAACUAAAUUAAAACUUUACAUUUUGAAUACAAUUAAUGGAAUCUAAC
RNAcentral lists this long non-coding RNA (1629 nucleotides) under Drosophila guanche. Lineage: Eukaryota; Metazoa; Arthropoda; Insecta; Diptera; Drosophilidae. The record is from RNAcentral.